This 497-nucleotide ribosomal RNA is filed under the name uncultured bacterium. RNAcentral's name for it is "partial 16S ribosomal RNA". It matches the Rfam family "Bacterial small subunit ribosomal RNA", at positions 28 to 507 of the family's 1533-position model. The record is from RNAcentral.
GAUGAACGCUGGCGGCGUGCCUAAUACAUGCAAGUCGAGCGAACGGACGAGAAGCUUGCUUCUCUGAUGUUAGCGGCGGACGGGUGAGUAACACGUGGAUAACCUACCUAUAAGACUGGGAUAACUUCGGGAAACCGGAGCUAAUACCGGAUAAUAUUUUGAACCGCAUGGUUCAAAAGUGAAAGACGGUCUUGCUGUCAUUUAUAGAUGGAUCCGCGCUGCAUUAGCUAGUUGGUAAGGUAACGGCUUACCAAGGCAACGAUGCAUAGCCGACCUGAGAGGGUGAUCGGCCACACUGGAACUGAGACACGGUCUAGACUCCUACGGGAGGCAGCAGUAGGGAAUCUUCCGCAAUGGGCGAAAGCCUGACGGAGCAACGCCGCGUGAGUGAUGAAGGUCUUCGGAUCGUAAAACUCUGUUAUUAGGGAAGAACAUAUGUGUAAGUAACUGUGCACAUCUUGACGGUACCUAAUCAGAAAGCCACGGCUAACUACGUG